UACGGAGGGAGGGAGCGUUAAUCGGAAUUACUGGGCGUAAAGGGCGCGUAGGCGGUGGGUUACGUCUGCCGUGAAAUCCCCGGGCUCAACCUGGGAAUGGCGGUGGAAACGGGCUGACUGGAGUAGGGGAGAGGGUGAUGGAAUUGCAGGUGUAGCGGUGAAAUGCGUAGAGAUCUGGAGGAACACCAGUGGCGAGGGCGGUCACCUGGGCCAAGACUGACGCUGAGGCGCGAAAGCGUGGGGAGCAAACAGG
Molecule: ribosomal RNA, 253 nt
Filed under: uncultured bacterium
Lineage: Bacteria
Description: partial 16S ribosomal RNA
Rfam family: Bacterial small subunit ribosomal RNA
Source: RNAcentral